This 253-nucleotide ribosomal RNA is filed under the name uncultured bacterium. RNAcentral's name for it is "partial 16S ribosomal RNA". It matches the Rfam family "Bacterial small subunit ribosomal RNA", at positions 524 to 776 of the family's 1533-position model. The record is from RNAcentral.
UACAGAGGUCUCAAGCGUUGUUCGGAUUCAUUGGGCGUAAAGGGUGCGUAGGCGGCGCCGUAAGUCAGGUGUGAAAUUUCGGAGCUUAACUCCGAAACUGCAUUUGAUACUGCGGUGCUUGAGGACUGGAGAGGAGACUGGAAUUUACGGUGUAGCAGUGAAAUGCGUAGAGAUCGUAAGGAAGACCAGUGGCGAAGGCGGGUCUCUGGACAGUUCCUGACGCUGAGGCACGAAGGUCAGGGGAGCAAACGGG